Small RNA from Flavobacterium succinicans, 95 nucleotides. It matches the Rfam family "Flavo-1 RNA". NCBI's taxonomy places the organism in Bacteria, Pseudomonadati, Bacteroidota, Flavobacteriia, Flavobacteriales, Flavobacteriaceae. The record is from Rfam.
UUAUAGCCCCGAUUGCAGUGGCAUCCUUUUUUAUAGCUGGCAGGUUUUUGGACCUGACAGUUAUAAAAAAGAUAUAACGUACAGCGGGAAUCCUG